CCGAUGAACCGAAGAGAAUGGUA
Molecule: non-coding RNA, 23 nt
Filed under: Arabidopsis thaliana (thale cress)
Lineage: Eukaryota; Viridiplantae; Streptophyta; Magnoliopsida; Brassicales; Brassicaceae
Source: RNAcentral